This 468-nucleotide ribosomal RNA is filed under the name uncultured bacterium. Its description in RNAcentral is "partial 16S ribosomal RNA". It matches the Rfam family "Bacterial small subunit ribosomal RNA", at positions 28 to 507 of the family's 1533-position model. The record is from RNAcentral.
GACGAACGCUGGCGGCGUGCUUAACACAUGCAAGUCGAACGGAAAGGCCCUGCUUUUGUGGGGUGCUCGAGUGGCGAACGGGUGAGUAACACGUGAGUAACCUGCUCUUGACUUUGGGAUAACUUAAGGAAACUGGGGCUAAUACCGGAUAGGAGCUCCUGCUGCAUGGUGGGGGUUGGAAAGUUUCGGCGGUUGGGGAUGGACUCGCGGCUUAUCAGCUUGUUGGUGGGGUAGGGGCUUACCAAGGCUUUGACGGGUAGCCGGCCUGGGUGGGGGACCGGCCACAUUGGGCCUGAGAGACGGCCCAGACGCCUACAGGGGGCAGCAGGGGGGAAUAUUGCACAAUGGUCGGAAGCCGGAGGCAGCAACGCCGCGGUCGGGAUGACGGCCUUCGGGUUGUAAACCGCUUUCGCCUGUGACGAAGCGUGAGUGACGGUAAUGGAUAAAGAAGCACCGGCUAACUACGUG